This 274-nucleotide ribosomal RNA is filed under the name uncultured bacterium. RNAcentral describes it as "partial 16S ribosomal RNA". It matches the Rfam family "Bacterial small subunit ribosomal RNA", at positions 523 to 796 of the family's 1533-position model. The record is from RNAcentral.
AUACGAAAGGUGCAAGCGUUAAUCGGAUUUACUGGGCGUAAAGCGCGCGUAGGCGGCUAAUUAAGUCAAAUGUGAAAUCCCCGAGCUUAACUUGGGAAUUGCAUUCGAUACUGGUUAGCUAGAGUGUGGGAGAGGAUGGUAGAAUUCCAGGUGUAGCGGUGAAAUGCGUAGAGAUCUGGAGGAAUACCGAUGGCGAAGGCAGCCAUCUGGCCUAACACUGACGCUGAGGUGCGAAAGCAUGGGGAGCAAACAGGAUUAGAUACCCGAGUAGUCC